Molecule: ribosomal RNA, 486 nt
Filed under: uncultured bacterium
Lineage: Bacteria
Description: partial 16S ribosomal RNA
Rfam family: Bacterial small subunit ribosomal RNA
Source: RNAcentral
AUUGAACGCUGGCGGCAUGCCUUACACAUGCAAGUCGAACGGCAGCACGGGUGCUUGCACCUGGUGGCGAGUGGCGAACGGGUGAGUAAUACAUCGGAACAUGUCCUGUAGUGGGGGAUAGCCCGGCGAAAGCCGGAUUAAUACCGCAUACGAUCUACGGAUGAAAGCGGGGGACCUUCGGUCCUCGCGCUAUAGGGUUGGCCGAUGGCUGAUUAGCUAGUUGGUGGGGUAAAGGCCUACCAAGGCGACGAUCAGUAGCUGGUCUGAGAGGACGACCAGCCACACUGGGACUGAGACACGGCCCAGACUCCUACGGGAGGCAGCAGUGGGGAAUUUUGGACAAUGGGCGAAAGCCUGAUCCAGCAAUGCCGAGUGUGUGAAGAAGGCCUUCGGGUUGUAAAGCACUUUUGUCCGGAAAGAAAUCCUUGGCCCUAAUACGGUCGGGGGAUGACGGUACCGGAAGAAUAAGCACCGGCUAACUACGUG